This 69-nucleotide transfer RNA is filed under the name Enyalioides heterolepis. RNAcentral describes it as "tRNA-Gln". It matches the Rfam family "tRNA". Rfam says of the family: Transfer RNA (tRNA) molecules are approximately 80 nucleotides in length. Their secondary structure includes four short double-helical elements and three loops (D, anti-codon, and T loops). Further hydrogen bonds mediate the characteristic L-shaped molecular structure. tRNAs have two regions of fundamental functional importance: the anti-codon, which is responsible for specific mRNA codon recognition, and the 3' end, to which the tRNAs corresponding amino acid is attached (by aminoacyl-tRNA synthetases). tRNAs cope with the degeneracy of the genetic code in two manners: having more than one tRNA (with a specific anti-codon) for a particular amino acid; and 'wobble' base-pairing, i.e. permitting non-standard base-pairing at the 3rd anti-codon position. Lineage: Eukaryota; Metazoa; Chordata; Lepidosauria; Squamata; Hoplocercidae. The record is from RNAcentral.
UAGGAGGUUGCAUAAUGAAGUGCGUGAGAUUUUGAGUUUUUAGGUGCGGGUUCGAGUCCCGUUCUUCUA